AUUGAACGCUGGCGGAAUGCUUUACACAUGCAAGUCGAACGGCAGCACGGGGCAACCUGGUGGCGAGUGGCGAACGGGUGAGUAAUACAUCGGAACGUGCCCAAUCGUGGGGGAUAACGUAGCGAAAGUUACGCUAAUACCGCAUACGAUCUACGGAUGAAAGCGGGGGAUCGCAAGACCUCGCGCGAAUGGAGCGGCCGAUGUCAGAUUAGGUAGUUGGUGGGGUAAAGGCUCACCAAGCCAACGAUCUGUAGCUGGUCUGAGAGGACGACCAGCCACACUGGAACUGAGACACGGUCCAGACUCCUACGGGAGGCAGCAGUGGGGAAUUUUGGACAAUGGGCGCAAGCCUGAUCCAGCCAUCCCGCGUGCAGGAUGAAGGCUUUCGGGUUGUAAACUGCUUUUGUACGGAACGAAAAGGUCCUGGUUAAUACCUGGGGCUCAUGACGGUACCGUAAGAAUAAGCACCGGCUAACUACGUGCCAGCAGCCGCGGUAA
This 498-nucleotide ribosomal RNA is filed under the name uncultured bacterium. RNAcentral's name for it is "bacterial SSU rRNA". It matches the Rfam family "Bacterial small subunit ribosomal RNA", at positions 30 to 523 of the family's 1533-position model. The record is from RNAcentral.